AGAGUUUGAUCCUGGCUCAGAACGUACGCUGGCGGCACGCCUAAUACAUGCAAGUCGAACGAAGUAGCAAUACUUAGUGGCAGACGGGUGAGUAACAUGUAGGUAUCUACCCUUUGGCCUGGAAUAACACGAGGAAACUUGUGCUAAUACCGGAUAAGUCUUUACGGAGAAAGCUUUAUGCACCAUUGGAUGAGCCUGCACUUGAUUAGUUUGUUGGUGGGGUAAUGGCCUACCAAGACAAUGGUCAAUAGCUGAUUUGAGAGGAUGAUCAGCCACAUUGGGACUGAGACACGGCCCAAACUCCUACGGGAGGCAGCAGUAGGGAAUCUUGCACAAUGGAGGAAACUCUGAUGCAGCGAUGCCGCGUGAGUGAAGAAGGCCUUUGGGUUGUAAAGCUCUUUCGUCGGGGAAGAAAAUGACUGUACCCGAAUAAGAAGGUCCGGCUAACUUCGUGCCAGCAGCCGCGGUAAUACGAAGGGACCUAGCGUAGUUCGGAAUUACUGGGCUUAAAGAGUUCGUAGGUGGUUAAAAAAGUUGGUGGUGAAAUCCCAGAGCUUAACUCUGGAACUGCCAUCAAAACUUUUUAGCUAGAGUAUGAUAGAGGAAAGCAGAAUUUCUAGUGUAGAGGUGAAAUUCGUAGAUAUUAGAAAGAAUACCGAUUGCGAAGGCAGCUUUCUGGAUCAUUACUGACACUGAGGAACGAAAGCAUGGGUAGCGAAGAGGAUUAGAUACCCUCGUAGUCCAUGCCGUAAACGAUGUGUGUUAGACGUUGGAAAUUUAUUUUCAGUGUCGCAGCGAAAGCGAUAAACACACCGCCUGGGGAGUACGACCGCAAGGUUAAAACUCAAAUGAAUUGACGGGGACCCGCACAAGUAGUGGAGCAUGUGGUUUAAUUCGAAGAUACGCGCAGAACCUUACCAACACUUGACAUGUUCGUCGCGACUCUAAGAGAUUAGAGUUUUCGGUUCGGCCGGACGAAACACAGGUGCUGCAUGGCUGUCGUCAGCUCGUGUCGUGAGAUGUUGGGUUAAGUCCCGCAACGAGCGCAACCCUCACUUUUAGUUGCCAUCAUUUAGUUGGGCACUCUGAAAGAACUGCCAGUGAUAAGCUGGAGGAAGGUGGGGAUGACGUCAAGUCCUCAUGGCCCUUACGUGUUGGGCUACACACGUGCUACAAUGGCAUUUACAAUAGGAAGCAAGGUGGCGACAUCAAGCAAAUCCUAAAAAAAUGCCUCAGUUCGGAUUGUACUCUGCAACUCGAGUACAUGAAGCUGGAAUUACUAGUAAUCGCGGAUCAGCGCGCCGCGGUGAAUACGUUCCCGGGUCUUGUACACACCGCCCGUCACACCAUGGGAGUUGGUUCUACCUUAAGGCAAAGCUUAAAACCUUUGACCACGGUAUAGUCAGCGACUGGGGUGAAGUCGUAACAAGGUAACC
This 1436-nucleotide ribosomal RNA is filed under the name uncultured Alphaproteobacteria bacterium. RNAcentral's name for it is "bacterial SSU rRNA". It matches the Rfam family "Bacterial small subunit ribosomal RNA". The record is from RNAcentral. Lineage: Bacteria; Pseudomonadati; Pseudomonadota; Alphaproteobacteria.